Ictalurus punctatus (channel catfish) is the source of this 1389-nucleotide long non-coding RNA. The record is from Ensembl. Lineage: Eukaryota; Metazoa; Chordata; Actinopteri; Siluriformes; Ictaluridae.
CUCGGCCCAGGCCAGGCCGGCAUCUCCAGUCAUGACAACCCCUCAGUGGGCAGAGCUUCAUUUCAGCACAUACACACACACAAGGGUACACGUGUGUGUGCAUCAGCCGCACGUUAAUGGAGAGGAGUGGAGGCACUGCGGGUUACUCUUGGGUGUUUUCCUGAUCAUGGAUUUAGUCUCGUCCUUGACUGAAUUGCACGUUGAUGUGAUUCUCCACUGAAAAUGCCCUUCAAAUCAAGACUAUGGAGCUUCCUGUUAACGGUGUACUCCAACCUUUUUCAACCUUAUUUGGAGCAUGUGUGUGAUUACUAUGGAUGAAAAUGUUGACAGAAAUCCCUGCACUUACUGAGCCUCACUUAUAAUGGGAGUCUAUGGGCAAUAAACAUUUGUAGUAUGUUUUCCUGAAUUAGUUCAUGAAGUCAAGUAUUUUUACUAUUGAGUGAGUGAGUAGUAAGUAAGUAGUAAGUAAUGAUUACGUAGUAAGUAAGUAAGUAGUAAGUAAGAAUGUAAGUAGUUAGUGAGUAGUUAGUGAGUAAGUAAGUAGUUAGAAAGUAGUAAGUAGUAAGUAAGCAAGUAAGUAGGCAGUAAGUGAGUAAGUAAUUGAAUGAGUAGUAAGUAAUAAAGUAAGUAGUUAGUAAGUAGUUGGUGAGUAAGUAGUCGAUAGUAAGUGUGUAAGAGAAUAAGUGAGUGAGUAGUUAGUGAGUAAAAGAGUAAGUAGUUAGAGAGUAAGAGAGUGAGUAGUUAGUGAGUAAGUAGUUGGUGAAUAAGUGAGUAUGUAAGUAGUUAGUAAGUAGUUAGUAAGAGAGCGAGUAAGUAGUUAGUGAGUUAGUAAGUAGUUAGCAAUAAAGCGAGUAAGUAGUGAGUUAGCGAGUAAGUAGUUAGCGAGUAAGUAGUUAGCGAGUAAGUAGUUAGUAAGAGAGUAAGUGAGUAAGUAGUUAGCGAGUAAGUAGUUAGCGAGUAAGUAGUUAGCGAGUAAGUAGUUAGUAAGAGAGUAAGUGAGUAAGUAGUUAGCGAGUAAGUAGUUAGCGAGUAAGUAGUUAGCGAGUAAGUAGUUAGUGAGUUAGCGAGUAAGCAUUUAGCGAGUAAGUAAUUAGUGAGUUAGCAAGUAAGUAGUUAGUGAGUAAGUAGUUAGCAAGUAAGUAGUUAGCAAGAGAGUAAGCGAGUAAGUAGUUAGCAAGAGAGUAAGCGAGUAAGUAGUUAGCAAGAGAGUAAGCGAGUAAGUAGUUAGCAAGAGAGUAAGCGAGUAAGUAGUUAGCAAGAGAGUAAGCGAGUAAGUAGUUAGCAAGAGAGAAAGCGAGUAAGUAGUUAGCAAGAGAGAAGGCGAGUAAGUAGUUAGCAAGAGAGAAGGCGAGUAAGUAGUUAGCAAGAGAGAAGGCGAGUAAGUAGUUA